UGAUACUUUUAACACUUUUUCUUUAUAUAACUUUUUUCCUCUUUUGAGAAACAAAAUUAACUGUAUUUUAUUUCUCUUGCAUCAGUCUGCUUUUCUCUUCUACAUGCAUAGUCAGUAAUUCAUUAAUUAAUAAUUUAUUUUUAUGUGUAUUAUAAUAGAUCUGAAAUGGUCUGUAUUCAGAUGAUAAUGAGAUUAAAAUAAAGUGCACUAAGAAUGAAUUAGAGAUGGUAACUUCAAGUGCGGCGAGCUACACUACA
This 257-nucleotide long non-coding RNA is filed under the name Ananas comosus (pineapple). Its description in RNAcentral is "long non-coding RNA (ACOM_LNC043647)". The record is from RNAcentral. Lineage: Eukaryota; Viridiplantae; Streptophyta; Magnoliopsida; Poales; Bromeliaceae.